CCCUACGGGGCGCAGCAGGCGCGAAAACUUUACAAUGCGGGAAACCGUGAUAAGGGAACUCCGAGUGCCCGUAAACGCGGGCUGUCCAUCUGCUUAAAAACAGGUGAAGAAAGGGCCGGGCAAGACCGGUGCCAGCCGCCGCGGUAAUACCGGCGGCUCGAGUGGUGGCCACUAUUACUGGGCUUAAAGCGUCCGUAGCUUGGUUGUUAAGUCUCUUGGGAAAUCUGUCGGCUUAACCGACAGGCGUUUAAGGGAUACUGGCAAUCUAGGGACCGGGAGAGGUGAGAGGUACUUCAGGGGUAGGAGUGAAAUCCUGUAAUCC
Molecule: ribosomal RNA, 322 nt
Filed under: uncultured archaeon
Lineage: Archaea
Description: bacterial SSU rRNA
Rfam family: Archaeal small subunit ribosomal RNA
Source: RNAcentral